Molecule: ribosomal RNA, 253 nt
Filed under: uncultured bacterium
Lineage: Bacteria
Description: partial 16S ribosomal RNA
Rfam family: Bacterial small subunit ribosomal RNA
Source: RNAcentral
UACGUAGGGUCCGAGCGUUGUCCGGAAUUAUUGGGCGUAAAGAGCUCGUAGGCGGUCUGUCGCGUCUGCUGUGAAAACUCGGGGCUUAACCCCGGGCCUGCAGUGGGUACGGGCAGACUAGAGUGCGGUAGGGGAGACUGGAAUUCCUGGUGUAGCGGUGAAAUGCGCAGAUAUCAGGAGGAACACCGGUGGCGAAGGCGGGUCUCUGGGCCGUAGCUGACACUGAGGCGCGACAGCGUGGGGAGCAAACAGG